This 2719-nucleotide unclassified non-coding RNA is filed under the name Acromyrmex echinatior (Panamanian leafcutter ant). Its description in RNAcentral is "ceramide glucosyltransferase, transcript variant X17". Lineage: Eukaryota; Metazoa; Arthropoda; Insecta; Hymenoptera; Formicidae. The record is from RNAcentral.
UUGUAUCUGAAAAUUAUUCGUUAUCCGACAUCCAACUAACAGCAGAAACUGCUUAGUUGUAGAGUAAUACGAUAAAAUUUUUUAAAAAUAGUAUUGGAUGAAUAUAAGUUCGACUGUCGAAAUUUUGAGUAUUACGAGAUAUAUUUGUCGCAAAACGCUCAAAAGUGGGCUUACUACAAGUUUGAGCGCGCAGAGCUGGGCUGGAUUCUCCCUCACGCAUUCCACGAAUCGUUGCGUGCGUGCUGCUAAUCCGAAUCAUCGACACGGAAUAUUUUUCUCUCGAUAAUUGAAAAUAAUCGAGAAGCGAUAUAUACGUAUCAAGUGUAUAUACAUCAAUACGAGAGAAUGCGCGUCAGAUAUUAGUGAGUCAUUCGUUACGAAAUAAAGGUGCUGGUUUCUACGUACGGAAGAAAGAUAAGAGAGGGGAGAUAGUCGAUGAGACAUGUUAUUGCGCGCGUCGCAUCUGGUCACAUCAAGAAGCAUUCUGUGGUGAGACAGAUCGUUUCGUUUCGCUUCCGAAAGUCUCUCUUUCUCACUUCCUCCUUCCUCUUUAUCUCCUUCUCCACUCUUCCUUCUUUCUCUCUCUUGUUUGAUUCGCGUGAUACCAAGCGCGAAGAAUAAGGUAACCAAGUUUGAUUCGAGCGACCCAAGAACGUCAAGAGUUAUGACGGUGCGCGAUUUGCUAGUGUCGAUAGAAAGGAAGAGUAUCAAUGAUAUGAAACGCGAUUGCGGGGAAUAGUGACGUAUUUGAGGCGGUGAAAUCUAUAACGACAAUGCGAUCCAAUCACGGUUUAAUUAUAUCGUUCGCUUGUCGAUGGAAGAUGAAAUCCCAUCCUGAGCAAGAAGCAAGUUGCCUCAAUACGGACGAAUCGCGCAGUUGACGCGCUCGUUGGUGCGAGUCAAAGAGGUUAUCGUAGUUUAAGCGAGCUGGAGUGGACCGGAGCGUGAAUGUGUUGCAAGAGGCGAGCACGUUGCCGUCGUUGUCGUCGUCGUGGUCGUCGUCGCCGUCGCCGCCGUCGUACUAUGAAAACGACAGUGAUGCUCGAUCAGUAGGGCGCGUCACUCGACCUGGGGCGAAGAUUCUCGUGAUGUGUCCGCACGAGGGUACUCGGUCGAGGCAAGAAAUAGUGGAAAGAAAGCAGGACAAAAAGAAGGAAGGAGGUGCCGCCGGUUUGAACACGCCGGCACGCUAGAUUGCGGUGGCCUAAAGCCCUCGCUCUCUUGCUCCUUGGAAAAUGAACUCCAUGUUAUAUACUCUCUACGGGUUCGCGAUAUUUUUCAUGAUAUUCUGGUCGGGUAUGUGGAUGGUUCAUGUGCUGGCAUUAAUUACCGGUCGUUGGAAGCUGCAUCGGAAGAUGAAUCAGGCUCCGAGUUACGAGACACCGCUGCCAGGAGUGUCCGUGAUAAAACCUCUGAUGGGGGUUGACCCAAAUCUAUUCGGUAAUCUCGAAACCUUCUUCACCAUGGAGUAUCCCCGAUACGAGCUCCUGUUUUGUGUCGAGGAUGACUCCGAUCCCGUGCUGAUGCUGGUGCGCAAGCUUGUCGAAAAGUAUCCGGAAGUCGAGGCCACGCUCUUCGUUGGUGGUUGUAAAGUAGGGGUAAAUCCAAAGAUCAACAACAUGCAGCCGGCAUACGAGGCUGCCAAGUACGAACUCGUGUUGAUCAGCGACAGUGGCAUACGCAUGAAGGAGGACACUCUACUAGAUAUGGUCCAUCAUAUGACGGAUAGAGUGGCUUUAGUUCAUCAGAUGCCAUUUACCUGUGACCGCGAAGGUUUCGCCGCCGCGUACGAAAAGAUCUUUUUCGGUACGGUGCAGUCACGAAUGUAUCUAGCUGCAGAUAUGCUCAGGAUAAACUGUCAUACCGGUAUGUCAGCACUCCUGAAAAAAUUCACAUUGGACGAGGUCGGUGGUCUAAAAGCGUUCGGCAUCUAUCUUGCAGAGGAUUUUUUUUACGCGAAAUCGUUGACUGACCGCGGCUGGCGCAUCACCGUCUCCUCGCAGCCGGCGCUACAGAACAGUGGCCACUGCGCGGUCGAUUCCUUCCAAGCGCGACUACGACGAUGGGCUAAAUUAAGGGUAGCAAUGUUGCCUACCACCAUUGUUCUCGAACCGUUGAGUGAGUGCCUCGUUCUGGGUGGGUUCGCUUCCUGGGCGGCCAGCGUCUUGUUCGAGUGGGAUUCUUUAGUAUUUUAUUUGGUACACAUACUUUUAUGGUUUAUGUUCGAUUGGACGUUACUGUGUGUAGUGCAAAACGGUCCGCUGCCUUUUAACAAACUUGAGUUUGUAUGUGGUUGGUUGCUCAGCGAAAUCACAAGACCAUACCUUUUCCUUCAGGCUGUCUUGGAUCCUCUCAUACAGUGGCGUUCACGUGUUUACAAGCUCAAAUGGGGUGGCGUCGCGGAGGAAGUUAAGGCGAAAGUCAAAUAUUAAAAAUUCAUGCGAAUCGAGGGAAAUCUUUUGUCACGUUUCCUGUUAUUCUUGAGAAAUUUUGCAUGAUGUGAAGGGGUACGUCUGCAGAAAAAAAUGCUGGAAUGUUGAGUUUCCAAAAGAAGCAUGGAUUUUUUUCUUUUUUUUAUCCUGCAACUUGAAAUCACUCCAAUUUAAAAAUCACGUCAUACCAAUUUGUGGGUACUUGCUAGUAAAUGACUAGAGUUUCCGAUUUUUAAAUAUAAAUUUUAUUGAAGAAAAAUGAUAAAAAACAUGUUGAUGUAAUGUAA